Molecule: ribosomal RNA, 29 nt
Filed under: Tilletia controversa (dwarf bunt fungus)
Lineage: Eukaryota; Fungi; Basidiomycota; Exobasidiomycetes; Tilletiales; Tilletiaceae
Description: partial 28S ribosomal RNA
Source: RNAcentral
GGUAGGACUACCCGCUGAUCUUAUUCAUA